This 489-nucleotide ribosomal RNA is filed under the name uncultured bacterium. RNAcentral's name for it is "partial 16S ribosomal RNA". It matches the Rfam family "Bacterial small subunit ribosomal RNA", at positions 28 to 507 of the family's 1533-position model. The record is from RNAcentral.
GACGAACGCUGGCGGCGUGCUUAACACAUGCAAGUCGAACGGUGAAGGGAUCAACUUGCUGGUUCUGGAUGAGUGGCGAACGGGUGAGUAGCACGUGAGUAACCUGCCCCCUUCUUCUGGAUAACCGCAUGAAAGUGUGGCUAAUACGGGAUAUUCUGCGCCUGCUGCAUGGUGGGUGUGGGAAAGAUAUUGUUUCGGUGGGGGAUGGGCUCGCGGCCUAUCAGCUUGUUGGUGGGGUGAUGGCCUACCAAGGCGGUGACGGGUAGCCGGCCUGAGAGGGUGGACGGUCACACUGGGACUGAGACACGGCCCAGACUCCUACGGGAGGCAGCAGUGGGGAAUAUUGCACAAUGGGCGCAAGCCUGAUGCAGCGACGCCGCGUGAGGGAGGGAGGCCUUCGGGUUGUGAACCUCUUUCGCCAGUGAAGCAGGCCUGUCCCGUGUGGGUGGGUUGACGGUAGCUGGAUAAGAAGCGCCGGCUAACUACGUG